GGCCACAAUGAGACUCCUGCGAGCUGUAGAAGGUUUGGUGAUGGUUGAGGCUGAGCCAGUGAGGAAGGAGGCUGCCAUGGUCAUGGAAGCCAUCUGUGCAAAUUUGGUUGGUUGAUCUUUUUUCUUGCUUUUGUUUUUUGCCUCUCAAUCUGACUUGCAGUAUGUAAGCGAAGUGAAUUCUGGCUUGGUUUAAAGUCCUAAGUGAAAUGAGAAUGUGCUUCUUAGAACAAUAGCAUCAUCCAUUUCCUUAUCGGCAGAAAUGUUUUGCCAAAUGGGUUGUUGCCACGUGUCUUGCUUUAUCCUUCUGAAAACUCUUGGCUCCGGAAGCCUCUUCACUUCAUCUAGACAAACAAAAGCAGACUCGGCUAAUUAGCACAGAAAUGGACUUACCUGAAGUUAAAAUAAAUAGAAAUUUAUAGCAAUCCCCAUUUCUAGCAUUAAGCACUGAACAAGAUUUUAUAAUUAUCAUUAUCAUAGUGAGUUAUGUAAUGUGUUCUAAAAGUUCUUAUUUUGUGAUAAAUGUGAAAAUAAUGAAUUAUCAUGAAUUUUUUUAUUUACAAAUCUCUCUCUAUUUUCAAGUCAAACAUGUCUAAUUUGUGCAAUAUUUCACACAAUGUAAUAUAUAUAUAUAUAUAUAUAUUGAAAUUUUUGUGAAGUACAUGCUAUUAUGGAACAUGAUAACUUCAAUGACGGGGACAUAGGGCAAUGAGGCCGAUAGGGGUCACGUGCUGAGUACAAUUUGUGAAGGAUAACCAAGAUAUAUGAAGUAAUGAUGUGAUAUGAUUUGGAUUGUGUGUUUUUAACCAAUUUUUCACUCUUUUUAUUUUAUUUCAUUCAAUUCACCCACCAUGAUUCUGGAAUUUUCUUUAUUUUCGGAUCGGAGUGUGACAAUCUUCCUCCUAGUAUUCCUGUGACUUCCAAGGAGGGUGUCGUAUGCAAACUGUGAAAAUCCUUAUAUGGUUUGAAGCAGUAUCUAAGAGUAUGGUUUGGAAGGUUUGCUACAUCUAUGAAAAAAAUUGGCAGCUUUAAUUAUUUAUGUUGAUGAUAUGAUAGUAACUUGAGAUGAUUAGGAAGAAAUGCAGUGGCUUCAAAAGUAUUUGACUUCUGAAUUUGAGAUGAAAUUAUUGGGUGAAUUAAAGUACUAUCUUGCGAUUGAGGUUGCUAGAUCUAAAAAUUGUAUUUUUCUAUCCCAAAGAAAGUAUGUUUUAGAUUUUCUUGCAGAGAUUGGUAUGUUAGAUUAUAAACCGAUUGACACUCCUAGUAAAUAGAAUCAUAAGUUGGGGUUGUAUCGUAAUCAAGUUCUUGCUGAUAAGGAGUGUUAUCAUAGGCUUGUAGGGAAAUUGAUUUAUUUGGCUCAUAUACGUCCUGAUAUAGCAUAUGCAAUUAAUGUGGUAAGUCAAUUUAUACAUUCACCAAGUCUUGAUCACAUGAGUGUUGUUAUGCGUAUUUUGAGAUACUUGAAGGUAACUCCUUGCAAGGUUUAGUAUUCUUUAAGUACGGUCAUGUGGAUGUGGAAGGGUAUACAGAUGUCGUUUGGGCAGGUUCAGUUAUUGGCAUGCAUUCUACUUUUAGGUAUUUUACCUUUGUUGGUUGUUAUCUUGUUACUCAGAGUAGUAAAAAAACAAAGGUGGUAUGGCUAGGUCAAGUGUGGAAGCCAAGUUUCCUGGCAUGUCAAAACGGAUAUGUGAAUUGCUUUGGUUGAAAACAUUGAUGAGAGAUCUUGGGUUUGAACCCGAGAAACCUAAGAGUUUGUAUUGUGAUAUUAGGCUGCUAUUAAGAUUGCUCAUAAUCCUGUGCAACAUGAUUGUACGAAGCAUAUGAAGAUUGAUCGACAAUUUAUUAGAGAAAAAUUGGAUGUUGGAAUAAUUGUUUUUCCAUUUAUGACAUAAGAAGAUCAGUUGAUGGAUAUUCUUAUCAAAACUGCCUAUACUAGUGUUUUUCUGAAGUUGCUUGACACAUUCGGCAUGCGUGAAAUCUUUGCUCCAACUUGAGGGGGAGUAUUGCGUGUUCCUUAUUCAUUUAGGUUACUUAUUUUUAGGGAUUUAAUUUUUAGUUUGUUUCCUAUUUUAUUCACGGUGCAAAUAGGAUUCCUUGUCUAGUAAGACGUACUUAUAAAACAUUCUUGUAACCUCCAUAAAUUGCCUUCAUUGUGGAGAAGAGUACAAUAUGAAAUUUUACCCCAUGUUGUCUAACUUGGAAUCAUAGCCUGGUUUGAACGUUGAUAAAUAAAAAGAGGCAACAUAUUAAUGUCUUCAAAACUAGAAAUCCAAAAACUAAAGGUCCGUUGAUAACCAUUUCAAUUUUAUUUUUGUUUUUAUUUUUUGUGCUAGAGUUUAGAGGAAAAUGAAGGUGAAAACAAAAACUUGAAAGUGAAAACAAUUUCAAAUAAAUUUUAGAUUUUUGUUUUUGUUUUCACUUUUGUUACUCCUCCCCAUCCUCCCCUCCAAUCUUCCCUCUCAAUUUCAUCUCCACUCUCAUUCUCACUUCCAUUCUUUUUUUUUCCCUCUAUACUCUAGAACAAAAAAUGGAACCUAAAAACUAAAAAUUGAAAUUGAAAUGGUUAUCAAAAGGGAACUAAGAUUUUAUCUUCAAUAAACACUAGGUUCUCUCAGACUAGGCUUCUACUUUAUCCUAUGUUGGGUUAUCGCAUUUAGGUCCCAUGUUUAGAUCGUAGAACUUGCGUUUAGACCCAUGUCUGAGUCGCAAUUCGAACCUAGGUCUCAUGAAGUUUCAAAAAAUAUCAUGAUUUUUUAUUUUAUUUUAAUACAGUCGAUAGUCUAAAUUACAAAGGGGAUGAGGGUUGUUCACAUGCACUACUAAGGUGUCAUAGUAGUUCUAACUUGAGACCACUAGUCAAGACCCUUCUCCACUAGGCUAAAUUUCGUUGGCAAAAAAAAUACCCUCACUUUGUUAAAAGAAACAAAAAAUAAAAAAAGUAUCUACCAAACAUGUUUUUUUUUUCCUUUUGUUAAUGCGGGGCCCUAAUCCUUAAGAAAACUGAAGGUAGCUCACAAUAAAUGUACACCAUGAUACAUGAGGGGUGCAAGUUGGAUUGGAAAUUCCAAUUACAAACGCUUCCGAUUAGAAAAUUUCCAAUUUUGGCAAGUUCAAAUCAAUUCCAACAUCCGAAAGUUUCAAAAAAAGAAAAAGAAAAAAGGAUUGGAAUUGGAAUGUAUCUCAAGAUUUCAAAAAAUUCCACAUUCUGAAAUAUAUUGGGGUUUCAAAGUUGGAAUACACACAAUGACUAAUUUCAUGUUGAACUAAAUAUGAUUUAAUGACCAGAUAGACAUAGACAAGUUGUACUUUAAUGCCCUGUUUGGAUGAGGUAUUUGUGGGAGGGAUUUCAAGCAAAGGCUUAGUUCCAAUUAUAUAUUAUAAUUAUACUUUUUUAAUUUCAAAUGACUCUAUGUAAAAUGAUAUGUAGUGUUUGAAUGAGAAAAAAAAACAACUAAAAAAAGGAACAGCUAAGAAAAAGGGAAAAAAAAAUCUUAUGUUUACAAGAAAUUACCCAAUCAAAUCCCACCAACAAAAUAAUUAGCCAAACAAAGAACUUUAUUAAUCCAAUCAUUUUGAAGUGUCUCACCUUAAAAUCUCAUUAUCUUGAAAUCCCCUCACUUCAAAAUCUCAUCACUUCAAAAUCCCUCAUCCAAACACAACCUAAAGGAUAACAAUAUCUAAAUACUAGCAUAUAAUAGUUUUAGAACUUUCGGUAUGAGUUUUCAAUUAUGAGUCAAUUUUAACCUUUCAAAUGGUUGGGCAUGUUUAAAAUUUUGAACUAAUUUCUGAAUAUUUUCAAAAAAAUCAUUUUGGGAAAUGGAAUCCCCUCAUUCCGAUCCAUUCCGUCGGAAAAUCAAGCCUAAUGAUGUGACAAUGUUAGCAAAAAAUAAAAAUAAAAACAAAAACUUGCUUGACUUACGAUUACACCUUUAUUAUAAACUUCCACUCAUUUGGAUGGCAAGAAAAGGGGAUUGGGAAUGGGAAAUCAUUUAUUUUUCCAUGUUUGAUAAGUACAUGUAUUUUUUUUUAAUAUACAAAUGAUAGUGUAAACUAAAUGGGGGAAGGAGGUUUCUCAUACAUUAUCAAGGUGUCAUUGGUGUUUGAACCUGAGACUAUUGGUCUGCAAGUCAAGGCCCUUUCCCAUUAUACUAGACUCCGUUGACUUUGUUAAGUCCACGUUUGGGAAAUGAUUUCAUGGCACUUGCGAAAAUAUGGGGAAAUGCAACCCUCCAUCCAUGUUGGGUUUUGUUAAGCUCAUAAUUUCAUACAUAUACAUGCCCUAUUUACUUACUCCUUUUACUUAGUUUCUUAGAAUUCUGAGUAAUUUACCUCUCUUUGUGUGUUUUUUAGGCUAAUAGAGUAAGAGAGAAUAAUUCAUGCAAUUCAAGCAUGUCAAGGCCUCAUUUGGAUGAAUGGAAAAAGAGCUUAAAGAUGAAUCCAUUUUUGGCUGCACUCCCUUGUCAGUCCAGUUUCGUAGGUCAUAGUGCAUGCCUAUUUCAACAACCUACACACCUCGGAUGAAGCAACAUCCUUCAUGGACAUAGUUUCAAUGGGUGUCUAUUAUAACAUAUCCAAAAUGUAGAACCAUUGGACAAAGCUGGAGUUCGUCACCCAUCAAACACAAAACCAUGCUCAAUAUGAAGUUUGUGUACGCUACCAAAUGAGUUAGCAAUUUAUUUCGGCCUUAACUUCUUCCUCCAGCCUUGGAUUGGCCCAUGAUUGGAAAGAUGACAUUCUGAACUUCAAGAUGGAGGUCUCAAAAUCAUCAUUUGCUUAAGGGAAUCCCAAUUCGUGAGCCCUUGAAGUUGCAGGUCAUGCUGACCUAAGGAUGAACUAAGUAUGCUUGGUCAUUCUGACCUAAGCAUGAGGUGUUAUUGAUUGUGGGGAAGUUAGGUAAAGCAGAUUCAUUACUUAUAAUUAGAGUGGAGUUUUGCAGAAGCCAAAAGAAAGAAAAGAAGAUGAAGUGGGAGCUGCAGCACUAAGCCUAAAGAGAAGAAGAAUUAUUUUCAAAUUCAAUUGUGUGUUAGGUGAAGUGGGUGUAGUUAGUGAACUCAAUUAUAUAAUAUGAAAAACCUAACCCCAUGCCUAUAAAUAGUGAGGUUCCCUAAGUCUUCAAACACACCCCAAGGGGGGAAGCUCUCAAACAUCUCUCUAGAGCUCCUCUCUUUUCUCCCUUCUCCCUUCUCAUUCUCUUCGUUCUCCUCCUCUCCCUUCUCUUCUUCUCCUUUCUCUUUCCCAAACACUUUCUCCUCCUUCUCUUCUUCUAAAUUAUUCAAACACCUCUCUCCUCCCUUCCAAAAAUUCUCCAUAUUCUCAAACACCUUUCCCUUCUCUCCUAAAAUUAUCCAAGUUCUCAAACACCUUUCUCUUCUCUCUCUCUCUCUCUCUCUCUCAAAUUCUCUAAGCUUUUAUUUAAUGUUCUCAAUUGUUGUACAAAACCCUUUUGCUUCUUGGUUGUAAUUUAUUUUUCAUUGUAAUGUAAAUUCUUUUCUUAAGUUUUCAAGUUUGAUUAGUUUCCAAGUUUCAAUUACGGAUUCUGGUUCUUAUUCAUUAUGCUUAUUAGUUAAUAUGCUUGUUUGAAUGAUUGAUCACCAUUAAAACUUGUAUGUUAGGUAUCUUGGUUUGAAUUAAGAGUAGACACCAUGCUUUCAUUCGAAUUGAACUAUAAAUAGGAAGAGUAUGUAUGGACAUUCGACAACAGAGAUUAGAUACAUACCUGGUUGUUUAAAACAUUCUUCUAUGCUUAAUGAAUUUUUAAUGCUUAAUUUUAGGUUAGACAACAAAUGAUCAAAUUAUGAAAUUAGGAAUACAAAGUUAGAACCUGACACCAUGACUUAAUCAUACUUUAGCUAGAAUCAAUCCGUGAAUCUAAAUUGAUCAUGGAAACUAAUUUUCUUGAGUUUGGUUUUUCUUUCUUAUUUUCUUUUCUUUUCUUUUCUUUCUUGUUUUCUAUUUUGUAUAGGGAAAUUGAAUUGGAUCAUUCAAUCACCAAUCCCUGUGGAAUUGACCGCGCACUUACAUAUGCUAGACUACCAAUGGCUCGUGCACUUGUAAGUAUCACAAGUUCAAGAUGCAGCUGAAUCCAUUUUGGUGUAGCUAAAUCGAUGCGACAAGUUUUUGUAUUAUGUUAAGCUCAUAAUUUCAUACAUAUGCAUGCCUUAUUUACUUACUCAUUUUACUUAGUUUCUUAGAAUUCUGAGUCAUUUGUAUCUCUUUGUGUGUUUUGUAGUCCAAUAGAGCAAGAGAGCAUAAUUCAUGCAAUUCAAGCUUGUUAAGGCCUCAUUUGGAUGAAUGGAAGAAGAGCUUAAAGACAAAUCCAUUUUUUGCUGCACUCCCUUGUCAGUCCAGUUUUGUAUGUCACAUUUCAGGCCCAUUUUCAGAAACCUACACAGCUCGAAUGAGGCAGCAUCGUUCACGGCAUGUGUUCCAAUUGGUAUCUAUUAUAACAUAUCCAAAAUGCAGCCUCAUUGGAUAAAUCUGGAGUUCGUCAACCAUCAAACAUAGAACCAUGUUCAGGAUGAAGUUUGUGUACACUGCCAAAUGAGUUAGCAAUUUGUUUCGGCCUCAACUUCUUCUUCCGACCUUGGAUUGGCCCAAGUGAUAUGUGGUUGGAAAGAUGACAUUUUGAACUGCAAGUUGGAGGGCUCAAAGUUGUCAUUUGCUUAAGGGAAGCCCAAUUCGUGAGCCCUUGAAGUUGCAGGUCAUGCUGGUAUAAGGAUGAGCUAAGUGUGCUUGGUCAUUCUGAACUAAGCAUGAGGUGUUAUUGAUUGUGGGGAAGUUAGGUGAAGCAUAUUCAUUACUUAUAAUUGGAGUGGAGUUUUGCAGCAGCCAAAAGAAAGAAAGAAGAUGAAAUGAGAGCUGCAACACUAAGCCUGAAGAGAAGAGGAAUUGUUUUCAAAUUCAAUUGUGUUAGGUGAAGUGGGUGUGGUUAGUGAACUUAAUUGUAUAAUAUGAAAAACCUAACUCCGGGCAUAUAAAUAGUGAACUUGAGAAAGAGAAGGGAGAAGAAAAAAAGGGAGAGAAGAAGAAGGAAGGGAGGAGAAGGAAGAGAGGAAAAAGAAGAAGGGAGAUGAGCUCUAGAGAGGUGUUUGAGAGCUCCCCCCCUUGGGGUGUGUUUGAAGACUUGCGGAACCUCACUAUUUAUAGGCAUGGGGUUAGGUUUUUCAAAUUAUACAAUUAAGUUCACUAACCACACCACUUCACUUAACACACAAUUGAAUUUGAAAACAAUUCCUCUUCUCUUUCGGCUUAGUGCUGCAGCUCCCACUUCAUCUUCUUUUCUUUCUUUUGGCUGCUGUAAAACUCCACUCCAAUUAUAAGUAAUGAAUCGGCUUCACCUAACUUCCCCACAAUCAAUAACACCUCAUGCUUAGGUCAGAAUGACCAAGCACACUUAGCUCAUCCUUAGGUGAGCAUGACCUGCAACUUCAAGGGCUCACGAAUUGGGCUUCCUUUAAGCAAAUGACAACUUUGAGCCCUCCAUCUUGCAGUUCAGAAUGUCAUCUUUCCAACCACAUGUCAUUUGGCCAAUCCAAGGUCGGAGGAAGAAGUUAAGGCCGAAACAAAUUGCUAACUCAUUUGGCAGCAUACAUAAACUUCAUCCUGAGCAUGGUUCUGUGUUUGAUGGGUAACGAACUCCAAAUUUAUCCAAUGAGGUGGAAUUUUGGCUAUGUUAUAACAGACACCCAUUGGAACAAAUUCCAUGAAGGAUGUUGCCUCAUCCGAGCUGUGUAGGUUGCUGAAAAUAGGCUUGCAGUGUGACCUACAAAACUGGACUGACAAGAGAGUGCAGCAAAAAAUGGAUUUGUCUUUAAGCUCUUCUUUCACCUAUCCAAAUGAGGCCUUAACAAGCUUGAAUUGCAUGAAUUAUGCUCUCUUGCUCUAUUGGACUACAAAACACACAAAGAGAUGCAAAUGACUUAAAAUUUUAAGAAACUAAGUAAAAGGAGUAAGUAAAUAGGGCAUGUAUAUGUAUGAAAUUAUGAGCUUAACAUAAUACAAAAACUUGUUGCAUCGAUUUAGCUGCACCAAAAUGGAUUCAGCUGCAUAUUCAAUUUGUGAUACUCGCAAGUGCAUGAGUCAUUGGUAGUUUAGCAUAUGUAAGUGCGAGGUCGAUUCCACAGGGAUUGGUGAUUGAAUGAUCCAAUUCAAUUUCCCUACAAACAAGAAAGAAAAGAACAGAAAAUAAGAAAGUAAGAAAAACCAAAAUCAAGCAAAUUAGUUACCAAGAUCAAGUUAGAUUCACGGAUUAAUUCUAGCUAAGGUAUGAUUAAGCCAUGGUGUAUGGUUCUAACUUUAUAUUCUUAAUUCCAUAAUUUGAUCAUCUGUUGUCUAACCUAAAAUUAAGCAUUAGAAAUCCAUUAAGCAUAGAAGAAUAUUUUAAACAACAAAGUAUGUAUCUAAUCUCUGUUGUCGAAUGUCCAUACAUACUCUUCCUAUUCAUAGUUCAAUUCGAAUUAAAGCAUGGUGUCUACUCUUAAUUCAAACCAAGAUAGCUAACAUACAAGUUUUAAUAGUGAUCAAUCAUUCAACCAAGCAUAUUAACUUAUAAGCAUAAUGAAUAAGAACCAGAAUCCGUAAUCCUAAUCAAACUUGAAAACUUAAGAAAAGAAUUUACAUUACAAUGAAAAAUAAUUUACAAUUAAGAAGGAAAAGGGUUUUGUACAACAAUUGAGAACAUUAAAGAAAAACUUAGAGAAAUUGAGAGAGAGAAGGGAAAGGUGUUUGAGAACUUGGAGAAUUUGAGGAGAGAAGGGAAAGGUGUUUGAGAACAUGGAGAAUUUUUGAAGGAAAGAGAGGUUUUUGAAGAAUUUAGAAGAAGAGAAGGGGGAGAAAGUGUUUGAGAAAGAGAAGGGAGAAGAAGAGAAGGGAGAGGAGGAGAAGAAAGAGAAUGAGAAGGGAGAAGGGAGAGGAGCUCUAGAGAGGUGUUUGAGAGCUCCCCUCCUUGGGGUGUGUUUGAAGACUUGGGGAACCUCACUAUUUAUAGGCAUGGCAUUAGGUUUUUCAGAUUAUACAAUUGAGUUCACUAACUACACCCAUUUCACCUAACACACAAUUGAAUUUGAAAACAAUUCUUCUUCUCUUUAGACUUAGUGCUGCAGCUCCAACUUCAUCUUCUUUUCUUUCUUUUGGCUACUACAAAACUCCACUCCAAUUAUAAGUAAAGAAUCUGCUUCACCUAAUUUCCCCACAAUCAAUAACACCUCAUGCUUAGGUCAGAAUGACCAAGCACACUUAGCUCAUACUUAGGUCAGCAUGACCUGCAACUUCAAGUGCUCAUGAAUUGGGCUUCCCUUAAGCAAAUGAUGACUUUGAGACCUCCAUCUUGAAGAUCAGAAUGUCAUCUUUCCAACCACAUGUUAUUUGGGCCAAUCCAAGGUCGAAGGAAGAAGUUAAGGCCGAAACAAAUUGCAAACUCAUUUGGCAGAGUACAUAAACUUCAUCCUGAGCAUGGUUCUGUGUUUGAUGGGUGACGAACCCCAGAGUUAUCCAAUGGGGCUGCAUUUUGGAUAUGUUAUAAUAGACACCCAUUGGAACAACUUCCAUGAAGGAUGUUGCCUCAUCCGAGCUGUGUAGGUUGCUGAAAAUGGGCCUACAGUGUGACCUACGAAACUGGACUGACAAGGGAGUGCAGCCAAAAAUGGAGUUGUCUGUAAGCUCUUCUUCCAUUCAUCUAAAUGAGGUCUUAACAUGCUUAAAUUGCAUGAAUUAUGCUCUCUUGCUCUAUUGGCCUACAAAACACACAAAGAGGUGCAAAUGACUUAGAAUUCUAAAAAACUAGGUAAAAUGAGUAAGUAAAUAGGGCAUGUAUAUGUAUGAAAUUAUAAGCUUAACAGGUUUCAUUUUCCUUUCCCAUGGAAAACCAAGGUAGACAUUAAUUAUACUUUUUAAUGACCAAUCUGCCCUUAUUAACAAUUAAAAAUACAAAGACAAACAUUAAUUACAUUUUUUUGCAUGCAGAUUUCUAAUUUAUGGGUCUAAUUGGAAAACUAAAUAAAGUUUGUUUCCAUUCCAUGCACAAACCAAACAUGGUAUAGAAUAAAAUGCAUUUUACUAGUUCCUUUCCCAGUAUUACUAAAUAUGGAGAAAGAAGUUACAGACGUGCGAGUUAAGCUAGUUAGUCACAUUAUAUCGAGAAAAAAAAAAAUUUCCAUUUCCCAUUCCCCGGGAAAAACUAAACCACUGCCAACUAAUAUGUAGAGUAGUCGAAUGCUAUCCUUCCCCCAGAAUUCUUUAUAGGGUAAAGCAAAGGGUUGACGGCAUUGAGCUAUAAAUGGAAUGGAUACACCAGUCAUCGGUUACAAAGUUGAAUCACGUUUAUUAGAGCGAUGAUGCUGUGCGGGGUAAGCAUGGGCGGACAGAUCCCUCAAGUCUCUCGUGAACAUUCUGUCUUGUUAUGGUCACCGUUCAACACCUGGGAGGGAGCCAUGCAAGUUCUGGUAUUUUCUUCUAUUUCCAGUGCUAUCUGACUCUGUCUGAUCUCAUCACUCUUAUUAUCCCUUGUUUUCCUUCUGAUCUGGGUGGGCCUUAGUUCACCUGCUUGUAUAUUCAUCUGAGCCCAUUUUAUUUUUAUUUAUAUAUUAUAUAUAUACAAUCCCGAUCUCUUGGACCACAGGAGUCCAAGAGAUUGUGGUCACCCACCGUUGAAUUUUAAUCCAAUGGUUCAAAAUUUUUUUUUAAAAAGAGUGAAAGAGUGAGUGAACCGUUGAAUUUACAUCCAACGGUGAGUGACCACAAAUCUCUUGGACCCUUGUAGUCCAAGAGAUCAGGAUUGUAUAUAUAUAUAUAUAUAUAUAUAUAUAAAAUAAAUUAUGUCUUCUGAAUUUUUGUAAAAUACUUAUUUGUCCAUUAAGGGGAAGAAAAACAUGGUGGCUCACAAAAGUAUCUCACAAUUGCUUAAACAACACAUACAACAAAGCACAGAGAUGGUAACACAGGAGUGGUUAAAAAAUAAGGCUACUUCUUUUCCUGACAUAAAAAAAAAAUCUCUACAACUGGAAUAGCAGUAAGCAGUGAGCAUUUUGAGCUUUUUAUAUGACUACUGGGAAGAUGGCUUCUGCUUGAACCAAUCUUUAUUUCUGAAUCUUUGGAGACCUAAAGUUUGCACAGAACCCACACACAGAAAUUUAAUUAAUUCUUUGAGAAAAAUGUCAUAAUCCACACUAUAAGAGCACUCGAAAGAUAAUCUUGUGAACACUAUAAAUAGUUUUAAAACUAGAAAACAUAAGACAUGUAUGAAUUGCCAGAGAGAUACAAUGACCGAACCUGUCUUAAUUAUGAGUUUAUGACCAACAUUCUACUACAACUAUCAUGGAAUAUGCAUUUUAUGUCAAUAACAGGGCUCCAUAAUGUGACAUAACGAUAGAUUAUCCAUAAUUUUAAACAGAAUGCACACCUACUACCAGUACAGAAUUACAUUGUAACAAAGUAACAACAGCAAUAUCAGCUAUAUAGUUUAUUACUUUGGUCCUGAAUCAAUCAAGCCGUUACAUAAGUAGUCGAGAUUACCAUGAAUUCAACUCAAAUCUACAACAAAGUAUGCACUUUCUCAUAAUAUAUGGAGAUAUGAAGUUCAAAGCACUGACUGGAAACUGAAUCUAGAACGAUUUCAUGGUGAUGGUUUAAUUUUGAAACCAAUCAAUGUCAAGAAUACAUACAUUAUCUGAAAUCUUCUAAGGAUAGUAAAUAAAACCAGCAUUCAAUGAUUGCAAAUAAUUUGAUUUUUAACUUCACAUCCACACAAACCACAUUGAGAUGGACUUAAACCAAAAAGGGAAAAGCGAAAAAUGAUUGCUCAAUUAAGGAAAGAGCUAAAGUUACUUCACAUCAAGGUCCUACAUUAAAUCUAAGGACAAGAAAAAAAAAACUAAGAAAAAUAUGUCCACUGAGAUUAAGAUCUGCAGAGUAACACUCUUGAACGAAACAUUCAUAUAGAAGGAUUGUGCUGGCAGGGAUAAAAUGUUGUCAGGCCUCCAUUAUGCUCAAUCCUAGGCGAAGACAAUUCUUUGGCCCUUGAUACAUUACUUGACCCAAAGGAGUAUAUGCAAGGCAUCUUUUUAGCCGUCCAAUUUUCUCUUUGCCUUUUUCAUCUUUGCAUGAAAACUCAUAUGCCCUCCUAAGGAAUUAUAAUUAGGGAAUUCUCUCUUACAGAUCUUGCAUGUGUAUUUUACAUCACAGCGGCCAUUCUUCAAUGAGCUAGGACCAAAAGUUUGGUUCUUUUCUGAACUGUGACAAUUAGACCGAGGAGCUUGGGUUGAUGUUUCUACUUGGUUUUCCACUGGGACAGGCACAUUUGAUGUAAUUCCUGUACCAUGGCUAACAGCCUGAAGGUGGCUUAGACCAUGAUUUAUGUCCCCAUUUGCACUACCCCCAAAUUUGUAAGCCACUUGAUUCGACCGAACAGACAAGCCAUUUUGUAAGGAUGGUGAAUCAGUGAAGCUAGAAGAUCUGAUUUCCUGGUUUCUCACAGGGUGACAGCCACUUGAUCCUAAAGAAGAUGAGGAUCCAGAGCUAGAAAUUAGACCGAGGAUAGUAAAGUGGAAUCCCGAGCAGACAUGAUCUUUGAUGAUGUAAUCAUCUGAAUUUAAUCGAAAUGCAUUUGAUGAAGUACAGAAGUGAGUUAAUUGUUUACUAGGAGGGAUGUAGACACUUGGGCCAAACCCAGAUGUAUUAGGAAAUCUGGGAGCAUGGGUUGGAUUGUUUUUCAAACACAAGGACUUGGUUGAACUAAUGGACGGUGAAUUGGUAGAGUUAACGGCAUGAGACUCUUGAUUUCUUAAAGGAAAAUUAAUAUCUACUCCCUUCCAAGAAUAGCUAGCAGAGGUGGGCGCAUAAACAUGUUGAUUCACCUCAGGAAAGGCACCCUCAAAUUCAGAUUUAAGUACACCAGUUGAUCUAGGAAAGUGGACCUUGUGGUUACCUAUGGAAGUACCUUCUUGUGGAUUGACUACUGGAACAAAGUUGGCUAUUGAAGUCCCCAUUUCCAUGAUUGGACAAGAAUCCACUUGAUUUCCAGCACAAGGUCUGAUUGUCUCCAGGUCAUAAGAAUUUUCAAGUAUAUCUGGAGUAUGAAGCUGUUGGUCUUGCAAGAAAACCAAGUUGUUGCUUUUGUCACUCCAUCGUGGGUGGAUAGGAGAAGAGGCAUUUGGCAGUUCAAAUUCUUUCCCACAUGGAUUAGCCACAUCAAACCAUGCUUCAUCAAAUGGUUGAAUAGCAUUGUCUUGUUGGCCGUCCAUAGAGAAGACAGAACUCACUGAUCACUCAUAGAAGAACAGAAAGUUAUUUGGUUAUCUUUGAGAAUUGGAGGUAAAGUAUCGGAAGAACAACUGGAAUAAAGGAUAAAAUCUUACACAGCCUUACUUCUAUCCUUUUAACCUUUAGAGAGAGAGAGAGAGAGAGAGAGAACGCUUCUAACAAUUCACAUCUAACUUGAUAUGGCCACAAAGCAUGCCAGAUACGAUAAUUAAGAAGAGGUACAAUACAAUGCAUCGCAGUCCAUGUAAGUUCAAGGGCGUACCUGUAAUGGCAAUGCUUGAUUUGGACAAAUCAAAGACUCUAGUCAUUUUCAUUUGACAUUCCCUAACCUGAACCAUACAAAACUUGACAAAUGCAUAAUAUCUCUAGCCUUGAAUGCACUCGUUCACAGUUGAGAGGACUGGGAUAGGUAAAAUAAUAAAUGAGAAAGAUUUUGGCAAGGCCCAGAUAGCCUCUUAAUGAAUAGAGAAUCCCAAUUACCAAAUAUGAAUUAGCUAUGACUUAUAAAGAUAAGACUCUGACACGUCAAUUAGGAAAGUAUUCUGUAUCGACCAAAGUCGCGGACCUUUGACAAAAGUAUGUACGUUACUAAGCAAAAGAAUAUUUUUGAUGAAAAACGGCAAAGUAAAAGAUGCAUUGGAGACAGUAAUGGCCGGUUACUGCCGGUUUUUCUUUUUGGCCAAAUAACAUGCAUAAUUCUCAUAGUAUUCUUGAUUUCUACUUUGUUCCAUGUAGUUUCAAUUUGGCAAUAAAGACAUUAGCUUACUUAAAUGGAAAUCAACAACAAUGCAUUAAAUUUGUCAAGGAUGAAAAGAUAACGAGAGCAAUACAUUAGCACUUGCAGGGAUAACAUAGACAAUUUGGGUCAGGCAGAAAACACUUCCAUUUGCUAAACACGUCAUCUUUCGGUCAACUCGUUCGACAGACUUAACGAAUUAGAGUCGAUUGCAAACUUGAUUAAACCAGAGGCCCUUAAUUGCAAAUAUUGGAACUACAUGGACCAAGGUGAAAAAUUGGAGAAACUACAAGGACUAUAAAUUUCAUUUCACCCUUCCCUUUUCUUUUUCCUAGGUGUAUAUAUAUAUAUAUAUAUAUAUAUAUAUAUAUAUAUAUAUACUCUCUCUCUCUCUCUCAAACACAAAAGUCUAAGUUAUCUUCAGGUUUCACUUCAAUGACCAAAAUCUAUAACUUCAACGAACAACAUAUAGUGUAAUAUGACUAUACAGACAUAUAAAUCCAUCAUACAAUAAACAUUUCAUAGAUCAGAGGCCAAUAAACUUGUCAACAAACUAAACCAAAUGGGAUUUGUAUGUGUGCCUCAAGUGAGUUCCACAAUUAUUUUAAAUUUUCUUUUCUAUUGUCUUAAUCAAGGGAAAAUAAGCCAACUAUUUAUCUUACAACUACAAAAAAACAUGUCACACUUGCAUCUUAUAAAUAACUAAAAUACAGAUAACCUAGCGAACUGUAUAAUUACUUAAUAAAAUAUCUAAUUCUGUUUGAGUUAGGUCGGGUUGGGUACCCAACCUCUUAAGCCAAGAAUCGAAUUUAAUUGGUUGGUUCUAGAAUCUUUAGACCCAAACUGAAGCAAAAAACUAAUAAGCAAACCAAACGAAGGCAAAUAUGCAGUUUGGCACAAGUCUUUGGGUACUGGAGAACCAAAUUGUGUACCUAGACAAGACAACAAUAUAAAUGGAAAAAAGCGGCAUGACAAGUGAACAAUAUAAAUAGAAUGAUGGAAACAAAGCAUGCGAAAACUUGAGAGGCACUUUACAAUGAACAAAAACCAAAAAACCAAAAAACCAAAAAAACCAAAAAACAAAAAACAAAAAAAGACAAACAAAACAAAAAAUUAGCAAAAAGAGUUGCCAUAUAUGUUUGAAACCAACCAUAUCUCAGACACAGUGAGAAUAUGACUAAAUAAUACAUUGAAAAUAAGUUAAAAAUAUUGAUUUCCAGUUGGGGUAAGAAGAAGAACCCAACCGAAAGCCCUUCACUUAACAGAAAGUUUGCUGGCUAUUUCCAGUCUACACUAAAUGAUUGCAAGAUAUAGAAAGAUUAUAUCCUCCAAAAUAAAAGAAAGCUUAUAAAUUAUGUAAGACAAUCAUUGAAUAUUAAAAUGAAGCAAAAGAUCUUGGUUACAUUAAACUGCGAUUAUUUUGUCUAGAAAGACAUUAUGAAUAUAUGAUGACUUCCAAAUAGUUUUAAUUACAAGCAAUUCUUCAACUCCUACCGCAUAAAUGCCAUAAAGAAUGAAAACACAUAUUUGAUCCUUUUGACCAAAACCUUUAAGAUUAUGAAAUCAAUUCACAUACUAUAUGAAGAUGCUUGAAAUACUAUCCAAACACACCAAGACGAAAUUCUUAUUUAAUUAUAGAAAGAGGUACCAUGGGAAAUAAUAAAACUAAAAUUUAGCUUAGAGUAAGCCAAAGUGGGAUUAAACAGAGACAACAAAAUCACUAGUAAGUAAAGAUUAGCCAUAUCCUCGUUUGUAAUGCUUACUACGACCCUAACCCAUUUUUGUAAUGCAUAUGAAACUCAAAUUUACAUCAGCUAUGUUCUAAUAUAUUCUUUGGUCUAUGUAGCUUGAGUGUUAUCAAAUAAUGCUAAGAUCACUCCAACCUUUUUUGUAGAGAGCCAGCUGGAAGAACUACAUGAGAAGUUUAUAUCUUCAUUUUUGCAAAUUUAUGAUAGAACUAUUGGGUCUUGGACCCCCUUUGUAACCAAAAAAAAAAAUGAAAAAAACUUAUCAUGGAAUUAUCAUAUUUUCCCAUUUGCAUUCCAUAUAACCUCUAGUGUUGUGUGUUUCAUAAGAAAUAAAAAUAUGCAUCCCUUACUCAUCUGGAUUUUUUUUCUUUUGGUUCAUUAAAAUUCUUUAUGUACUAAUAUAUGUUCAAUUCAGUUUUCAUUAAACAUGAGUAUUUUCAGUUAGUUGUACGGAUGCACAGGUUUUAUAUUCUGAACAUAUAUUUCCAAGAUUUGAUACAAAAGAACAGAACAGAUUAAAAAAGUGAAAAUUAAUGUUUCAUGGUGGAUACAUGAGUUAGUUAGAAAAUAUGAGCUCAACCACAAGUGAUGGGUAAUAAGGUUCAAGUCUUGAAGAUCAAACAAGCCAUAACUCGAUAUCACCAAUGAAAAAAUUAUGGAAUUAACUACUCUAAUUUCUUUCCUAAUGAUCCUGGAAUAAUGCAGUAACAAAAAGACUUCAAAAAUAUAAAUAACAUUGAAUUUAACUAAAACUGAAAACUGGAGGAAGAUUUUUAACAGUAGAAGCAUACCACAAAAGAGAAAAUCUACUCUUUAUCAACCUUGUGGAACGGUGGUGCCCCUUGCCCUGGAGGGAGGACACCCUCUAUGUCCCUUGAUCAUUUAAGAAAAACAAAAGGAAUUAAUUUCCAAAGUUGAAUAUUUGGUAGAUUAUUAUGGACCCUCUAUGUUGUACCCUUCAGCGUCAAGCAGAACCAUACCUGGACAUUAUUCAUAAAACUAUCUAUUUCAAAAUGAAGAUUGAGUAGCUCUUGAAAAGGGCAAAUGAGGAAACAGUAUUGAAUAUGUCCCCAAAACAAAGAAUAUGUUCAAUUAGGAAUUAGGUUUAAUACAACAACUAAUGUGAGAAAAAGUACAAGGAGCUAGGUUCAGUCCCACCACCGAAAAAUCUGAUGUCAAAAUUUCUAAAAAUAUGAAUGAAAAAGAGAGGGCUUGGGGAUUAAUUAUGUGAGGGCUGGUGAAGGAGAGAAUAUUCUCUCAGGAAAUAAGAGUUGUCACUCAAUGCAACACCCUGAAAUGCUAAUAUAACAUAUCAAUUAACUUUGUUCCAUUCCCUGAUAAAGAAAAUAAUUACGGUUUUCAGGUUGCAUAAUAAAUAAAUAAAUAAUAUACAAAAUUUGGUACAGAGAGUUCCAUUUACCAUGUUUUACCCAGCAACUGAUUGGAAAUGCCACUUUUCUCAAUUAACCCAUUCUACAGCAGUAAAUAAUCUUUGUUUUGUGCAACCUCCACGGGUACAAACAAAGAGAAAUAGUAUUUGGUCAUAUCCAAGAAAUUCGCCCCCCAACCAACCACAUCGUAAGCAGCCAAAACAUGGUUCAUCCCAGUGUGGUUCAUGCAAAUCUCUGUCAAAUAGCAGCACAGUCAUCACGGUAAAGCAAUAAGCAUGGAGAAACAGAAAGAUACUGACCAGUGAACAAGAAAUUGCCCUCGACCCUAGAAGCAGCUCCAAGAGAAGAAAUUCUGAUCUGAUUUUGUGGCUUGAUGUGCAUUUUUUAGGGAACCCAAGCAUUUCAAAUGGAUUUCAGGCAGGCCUCGCUGGGCCAGAAUUUAAAGUUACGAUGCAUUGAUCUGGGCCUAGGCCGACCAAUUGCACUAAAAAAGAUCUCAAUUAAACGGUAACAUCUGGUUUUCUGAUGGAACCCAAAUGUGAAAUACUAAAUGGAGAGCAGAUGGCCUCGUCGACCAAAAACAUGAGUUUUAUUUGGUCUGGUGAAUACUUUGAUGUAAAUACCCUUUUAAAGGUGGUCAUGUGACCAAAUUGGUGGAUUUGAGGACUAAAUGAGAACUUUUAAAUGUUUAAGGACCAGUUAUGAUUAAAAAAAGAAUAAUAUAUAAAAAAACUUGAAACAUUUUCCAACACUAAAAGGAAUAAUACCGUCAUUGCUGACAUUUACAUGGCAAAUCUAACUCACUGCUUUAGUUACUUGUAAUCCCACAUGCAACAAAACACAAGUACUGCACUGAGCACAUAACAUAGGGGUAACAAGCAUUUAGGUCAAAGAAGUCUACUCAUUUUCUGGAUAUAAAGAAAAAAACUUUACCACUAGAAUAGUGGGAGAGCUAAAUAACACUACUCACCUAAGCUAGUGACCUGGUUCAACAUUUUUCCGACUAUUCACUCUUCUCUCAAGAGCAUUUGAGCUUUCUAUCUGAGACUGGGAAGCUGGCUUCUGCUUGCUCCGACCUUUAUAUUUCAACAUGGAUGACGUAUGUUUGUGUUUAAACAUACACAAUUAAGUGAAUUCUCUGAAAAAGAUGUAUGAAUCCACAUCAGUGCGUUACUUCAGUCACCUAAUCUCAUAAACACUAUAGAUGGUUUUAAAACUUCAAAAAGUAUAAGACAUGUAUGGAAUCUCAAGGAAAUGCAAUGAUUUGUUUAUGUAAAUUGGAGUAAAAAUAAAAACUACUUCCCCAGACAAUGGUAUGCAGUUUCAGAGAGACAGUCUUAAUAUUGUUACUUAGCAUUAAGGUCCAGAACUAAAAUCAUGUCAUUCUAAAAUAAAUCCAAAGACAAAAGAAAAAUGAUUGCUGAGAUUAAAAACCGCUCACUGCGUUGGUUAUUGACUUCUUAUAAAUAAAAAAACAAAGGUUUUCAUUAAAUAGAAAAGAAAAUUACCACACAGGGGACAAGGUGUUCCCUAAACUACUGCCAACUAAAACAGAAAACCAAAAAACCAAAGAAAUAGAUUUUUUAUAUAAAGAGCUAACAUACACAGCACCCAUAAGAAUAGAGAGACUGAAUUGUGGCAGUUCUCCAUUCUGAAUUGCAUAGUAAGAGGCUUGUUCUCUCCCCAUAACUCUGUGGGAUGAAAACAUCCAUUUCACUAUCUUAUCAGGAGUAUGAAUUGAUUUCCUACAUGGUUGGUAAACAUUUGAGGUAAUUCCUGUACUAUGCCUAACACUCUGAAGGGGGUUUGGAAAAUGAUUUAUGUCUCCAUCACUACCUGAUAUAUGUUAGUCUAACCGGAAAAUAAGCCACUUGAUUCCACUGACCAAGUGAGACAUUUCUGAGAAAUGCUGGUGAAUCAGUAAUAAAAUAUCUAAUUUCCUCGUCAUUCACAGGAGGAUAGCUACCUGAUCCAAAAGAAUAUACGAGCUCUCAGAGCUACAAAAGUAGACAUAAUAAUUGAUGAUGCAACCAUCUGAAUCUCACCGACCUGCAUUUGGUGAAGUAAAGAUUGUAGGGGUUAGAUAUUUGAGCCAAAUCAAGGAUUAUUAGUGAAUCUAGAAGCAUGGGUUGGAUUGUUCACCAGAUACGAUGAACUAUCUGAACUUAGAGUUAACAGUAAACUCUUGAUUUCUCAGAGAGGAAUUGAUGGCAGGGGUGGGCAUAGAAACAAGUUGCUUUUCCUCGAGAAAGUGUACCAUAUGGUUACCAAAAGAAAUACCUUUUUGCAUAUCGACUGUCGGAACAUAGUUGGUGAUUGCAGGCACCAUUUUCAAAGGUGGAAAAGAAUCCACUACGUUGCCAGAACAUGAGGAGCUGGUCAUCACUAAUUCAUAAUUGUUUACAAGUAUAUCAGGCUGUUGGUCUUCCAGGAAAACCAAGUUUUCAUUGUCACUCCAUUGUGGGUUGAUAGGAGUAGAGAUAUUGGGAAGUUCAAAUUCCUUCCCACAUGAAUUGGCUACAUCAAACCAUGCUUCAUCAAAUGGUUGAAGAGCAUUGUGUUGUUUGCCGUCCAUGGAAGAAGAGAAAGCUCGUUGUUUACUUGAAGAAGAAAAGAUGACUAUUUGGAGGUGAAGUAUUCAAAGUACAACUUCAGUCAAGGAUGAAAUUGUUACAAAGCGUUGCUUCUCUCUUUUUACUCUUUAAAAUUUACACAGAGAGGGGAGGGGGGGGGGGGGGGGGGAAAAAAAAAAAAAAAAAAANNNNNNNNNNNNNNNNNNNNNNNNNNNNNNNNNNNNNNNNNNNNNNNNNNNNNNNNNNNNNNNNNNNNNNNNNNNNNNNNNNNNNNNNNNNNNNNNNNNNNNNNNNNNNNNNNNNNNNNNNNNNNNNNNNNNNNNNNNNNNNNNNNNNNNNNNNNNNNNNNNNNNNNNNNNNNNNNNNNNNNNNNNNNNNNNNNNNNNNNNNNNNNNNNNNNNNNNNNNNNNNNNNNNNNNNNNNNNNNNNNNNNNNNNNNNNNNNNNNNNNNNNNNNNNNNNNNNNNNNNNNNNNNNNNNNNNNNNNNNNNNNNNNNNNNNNNNNNNNNNNNNNNNNNNNNNNNNNNNNNNNNNNNNNNNNNNNNNNNNNNNNNNNNNNNNNNNNNNNNNNNNNNNNNNNNNNNNNNNNNNNNNNNNNNNNNNNNNNNNNNNNNNNNNNNNNNNNNNNNNNNNNNNNNNNNNNNNNNNNNNNNNNNNNNNNNNNNNNNNNNNNNNNNNNNNNNNNNNNNNNNNNNNNNNNNNNNNNNNNNNNNNNNNNNNNNNNNNNNNNNNNNNNNNNNNNNNNNNNNNNNNNNNNNNNNNNNNNNNNNNNNNNNNNNNNNNNNNNNNNNNNNNNNNNNNNNNNNNNNNNNNNNNNNNNNNNNNNNNNNNNNNNNNNNNNNNNNNNNNNNNNNNNNNNNNNNNNNNNNNNNNNNNNNNNNNNNNNNNNNNNNNNNNNNNNNNNNNNNNNNNNNNNNNNNNNNNNNNNNNNNNNNNNNNNNNNNNNNNNNNNNNNNNNNNNNNNNNNNNNNNNNNNNNNNNNNNNNNNNNNNNNNNNNNNNNNNNNNNNNNNNNNNNNNNNNNNNNNNNNNNNNNNNNNNNNNNNNNNNNNNNNNNNNNNNNNNNNNNNNNNNNNNNNNNNNNNNNNNNNNNNNNNNNNNNNNNNNNNNNNNNNNNNNNNNNNNNNNNNNNNNNNNNNNNNNNNNNNNNNNNNNNNNNNNNNNNNNNNNNNNNNNNNNNNNNNNNNNNNNNNNNNNNNNNNNNNNNNNNNNNNNNNNNNNNNNNNNNNNNNNNNNNNNNNNNNNNNNNNNNNNNNNNNNNNNNNNNNNNNNNNNNNNNNNNNNNNNNNNNNNNNNNNNNNNNNNNNNNNNNNNNNNNNNNNNNNNNNNNNNNNNNNNNNNNNNNNNNNNNNNNNNNNNNNNNNNNNNNNNNNNNNNNNNNNNNNNNNNNNNNNNNNNNNNNNNNNNNNNNNNNNNNNNNNNNNNNNNNNNNNNNNNNNNNNNNNNNNNNNNNNNNNNNNNNNNNNNNNNNNNNNNNNNNNNNNNNNNNNNNNNNNNNNNNNNNNNNNNNNNNNNNNNNNNNNNNNNNNNNNNNNNNNNNNNNNNNNNNNNUGGGGGGGGGGGGAGAGAGAGAGAGAGAGAGAGAGAAACCGCUCAUUUAAAUUUACAUCUACCUAGAUAUGGCCACAAAUCCAAUACCAUAUAAUUAAGAAAAGAUAUAAUACAAUACACUCAAGUCCAUUUAAGUUUGAGGGCAUACAUGAACUGACAAUGUUUGAUUUGCCCAAAUCAAAGAGUCAAGUCAUUUUCAUUUGACAUUCCCUCUCCUAAACCAUACAACACUUGGCAAAUGCUUAAUAUCUAGGCUUGAGCACACUCAUUCACAAUUGAGAGGACUGGGAUAGGUAAAAUAAUAAUGCGAAACAAUUUCGGCAAAGCCCAGAUGGCACCUUAAUAUGGGUAUAGAAAAUCCCAAUUACUAGAUAUGAAUAAGCUAGGACUUCCAUAUAAAGAUACAACUUCCAUAUACAUAUAUGAAUUAGUCUAGUAAUAGCUGGUUGCUAUUGUUUUUUUCUUUUUGCCAAAUGACAUUUAUAGUGCCUGUAGUUCUCUUGAUUUUUUUACUUUGGUCCGUCGUUUUCUUCAUAUCAAGAUAUUAAGUAUUCAUAACAAGAUAUACUACAUGAUCACAAAUUUACAAGAUAUAAAAAGACUAAUAUCCUCCAAAAUAAAGUUAAGAUAUAAAUCAUGUAUGUCAAUCACUGAAUAUUAAAAUGAAGCAAAAGAUGUUUGUUACACUAAACUGCGACUUCAUUUUUCCAAUAAAGUAAUUAUAAAUGUACAAGGACUUUCAGAUAGUUCUAAUUAGCAGUAAUUCAGGGUUUGCUCAACUCCUGUCAAAUAAAUGCCAGAAAGAAACAAAGGAAAUGAAAUCAGAUAUUCAUCGUUUUGACUGAAACCAUUUCAGAUUAUGUAAUAAAACCAAACAUUAAGCAUAAUAAUAAUAAUAAUAAUAAUACCAGUAGUAGUAGUAGUUAUGAAAGAGUUAUCAUACUUUCUGAUAUAUAAAAAUUUAAGAUAUUUUCCCAUAUACAUUCCAUCUAACCUCAAGUAAUCUAUGUUACAAAAGAAAAGUGCAGCCCUUUCCCAUCUUGAAAUUUGGUUCAUUUUGGUUCUUGAAAUUCCCUAUACAGUCCUAUAUGUUCAUUUUAGUUUUCAUUAAAAAUGAGCCUUUUAUGAUAUUUGUAUGUAGACAUCUUCUUUUUUUCCAGUAUCUAGCACAAAAGAACAGAAAAGAUGGACAAAAUGGAAAACCCUUUAGGAUGGAUACAUGAGUCAGUUAGAAACUAUGAGCUCAACCACAAGUAAAAGGCAAUGAGAUUCAACAUCUUAAAGUUUAAAGAACCUAUAACUUAAUAUAUAUAUAUAUAUAUAUAAGAUGAAAAGUAUCAAAGAAUUAACUACUCUAUCUUCUUUCCUAAUGAUCUGGAAUAAUGCAGUAACAAACAAAAAACUUUAAAAAUAUAAAUGAGAUUGAAUUGGAAACAAAACGAAACUCGAGAAUUUAACCAAUACGAGCAAACCAUAGAAGAGGAGACCUACUCUUUAUAAGCUUAGGGUUCUCCCUCGCCCUCCGAAAGGGGGAAGUACCAGGUCCAAAUCAUGGAAGCCCUCUAAAACAAAAGAAAUCAAUUUUCAAACUUGAAUGCUUGAUAAAUUAAUAUAGAUUGAAAAUCAAUAAUACUAUCCAGAUGAAUAAAACUAUCCAGAUGAAAAUGAAUAUUGAGCGGCUUCGGAAAAGCACAAAUGAGGAGAAAUUAUGCUCUCAAGAUUUCUAGAACUGUGAAUGAUAAAAAGGGAGCGGUGGUGGGGAGAUUAAUUAUGUGAUGGGGUGAUGAAGGAAGAAAUCAUAGUCAACACUUAAUGCAACACAAAUGCUAGCAUAUAUUUCUUUGCUUUGAAUGGAAAAUAUGUAUACAUGAAUUAUCCUUUUUCCACUCCCUGAUAAAGAAGAUAACAAUGGUGACUUAGUUUCCUAGUUGGAAAAUUUAAAUGAUUGGGUCAGAGAGUUUUCAACCAUUUUGAGCUGUAAGAGAGAGUAUAACUAUGGUGAAUUGGUUAUCUUCCGUUUGACAAACAUAAAUUUCCAUUUACCAUGUUUAAACCCAGCAACUGAUUGUUGCAAAUUCUACUUUUCUCACUCUACAAACACCAAAUAAUAUGAAUUUUGUUACAAAGCACAGACUCAGAAAUAUCAUUUGGGCACAUCACUGAAAGUCCACCCUGUUCAGGUAAACAUGCGUGAAUAACAGUAAAGGGAGUAGAGAGAAGAGAGAUACUGACCAAGAAAUUGUCGUCGACCUGAGAAUCAACUCUAAGAGAAAAAAAAAAUUCAGAUUUUAUUUUGUGGCUUUGAUGCGCGUUUUUUAGGUUGGGCUCUAAAAGAGAUUGACAGGGCCCCAUUUAGAGCUUCAAUGAAAUUUGAUUUAUGUGUUAUUUUUGUUUUUUUAAGUUAUUUUGUUUUAAUAUAUUUUUAUGAUAUGUUAGUUUUUUUUUUUUUAAACAUCUCAUGGAAAAAAAAUAUAUCAAAAUUUUGAAAAAAAAAUAUAGUUGUGUUGUAAAUAAUUAGUUGUGGAGCCCACAUGUUCCCUAGGCUUUGCCGAUAAAAGGGUUCAUCCCUUCAUUGUUCAAUACACAUAAACGAGCCUGAAAAAAAAAAAAAAAAAAAAAAACAGAGAGAGUCUGCAACCAGCAAUCCAAAGCAGAGAGAGAGAAAUACCAAGCGUAGCUGUUAAAACCUACAUAACUCCUUCCUUCAAUCCAUCCUCUUCCUCCUCCCCUUGGGUGGCCCAUGCAGGUCUCCAAAGACAGCAACGACCAAGUUGCCUUGUCAUGGCUGGCGGCCAUUGCAAAAGCCCCAUCCAAGUUGAAAACCGGCGGAACCAGGCCUUGUGGUGCCGCGGGCCUUACCGGAGCCAGACCCGACGACUGCGAGACGGAGUCGUUCUUCACGUCCACGAACUCGGAAUCUUGGUCGCGGAUGAAGGCGAGGAGUUGUCGUCGGCCGAAGCGGAGGCCGUGGUGGCGCGAACGGAUUAGAACAAGUCUUCUUCUUCUAUGCUGUAGCCAGGAGCCACCGUGUUGGCUCCACCACCCUGUGAGUUGUAGUUGUGUUUAUGGAAGGCCUUGACCAGCCCAACACCAACAAUGGUUCCCUCAUCACAGUUUCUUUGAUCAGAAAAUCAAACCACAGAUCUGCAAAGGAAUGGUUCUCAAGUCACAGAUCAGUUUCUUCAGUCACCACCGCGACUGAAACCGAGGCAGAGAUCGAGACAGAAAAAAAAAAAAAAAAAAAAAAAAAAAAAAAAAACGCCGGGGCAGAGACGGCCGUGACCGUGAUCGGGACCGGAGCCACCAUCACAACCGUAGCCCAUCUGCGGAGGCACGCAAGCGGCAGAGGCGCGAGCCGACCACCAAGGACGAGAGCCGUCGUCGUCAGUAGCAGCAGAUGGAGACACCAAGAUGUCAUCUGCUAUCUCUGUAAAGGUGAUAUCAACCAUGCAGACCUUGCCAACACAGCGGCACAGCUUGGCCAGCGUCUAUAGAUCUGGUAGUUUUGGGGUGGUUGCAGUCCCAGACACUGAUGAAACUGGCAGAGAAAGAGAAGAAUAAUGGAGGUGCGUAUUUUGGGAGAAUAGUAAGGCACAGAGUGGAGGUGCCAGAGCAGCAGCGUAACUCAUUGUUCGGGCGACAGCUUCCCACCCAGCGCACUUGCUUAAAGAAAAAGUUUUAAGUGCGCAUGCGUGAACCACUAAAUUAUGAUAAUUAUUAAUAUUAUUACUAUUGCUUGCAAUCUCACAUGGAGGCCACGCCAAAAGACCAAGCAAAAUAAAAGGCAGAGGGGAAUGUGUCGCUUUGCUUGGGCUUUGAUUGCAAAAUUGGUCAGAAGAGAACAGACAGAAAGGAUAAGCUUCCUUUCAUCUUUUCAAUUAUUUCAUUAUUAUUCUUAAAAGCCAAUAAUGGAGGUGGGAGGUGGAGCCAAUGAGCUCAGUCAAGCAAACCCACCGAAAGGAUAAGCUUCCUCUCAUCUUUUCAAUUAUUUCAUUAUUAUUCUUUAUUAUUUAAAUUGAAUAUUAAGAUGCAGGUCUAUAGUGCAGGUACAUAAUUAUAUUAUUUUAAUAUUAUAUCAUUAUUAAAGGUGUGCAGGGAUACAGCAAAGCCGAUCGGCCAAUAUCAUAGCGUUAUCCCCACUACUGUGAUAUCAUGUCAUUGUCGAAAGACAAUCACUCGUCUCUGCUUUUUACGUCAUGGAAGGGCAUGUAAGUAAACUGCUAAUUUGAAAUUCAAUUAAUAGGCAGGUACAAUUAUACUUACAGCUAUAGAAAAUGCCUGUUUGCGGGUUUAUCGUCCAUACCAGUAAUUUACUUAUCAGUAAUUUAUUUUAUGGAUUAGUUGUGCUGUAUGAUGAGUUUUUACAGUAUACAGAUCAGAACAAGAAGUUCCUUGAUCCUCGUCAUACAAUUACAUCAGGACUUGAAGAUCCUUGAUGAUGAUAUUAAUAUGAGAGCUGGCAGUCUCUCCUGUACUAUAUUUAUAGACAUGUGAUCGGACUUAAGAGUCCUUGAUCCCUGACAUGUGAAUAAGGACCUGGGUUCCUUAAUGAUGAAACAGUACCGUAUUGGUUAAUAGUGCCAUACACAUGGAUGAUAACUGUACUGACAGAUGUACUGUACACAUGAAUAGUACUGGAUAUGAAUAAUACUAUUCACAUGAAUAGUGACGUAUGCAUAAAUAUUAACCAUUUUGGGUGAACCGUCACUAUAUACAAAAGGGAACCUGCAGUUCCUUAAACUCAUGGAUGAGCAAUUAAAUGAGAUGCCAGAAGUUCCUCAAAAUAUGGACAAUUAUGUAAGGACUUCAAGUCCCGAAAUAUGUACAGAAAGUUGUAAACAUGUCCAUUUGAAAAGGGCAAAUAAAUUCUGAGUUUGCGCCCAGGCCACAAGUUCCGGGCUACCAUGCGUUGAAAUAUGAAAUUUGGAGAAUCGAUGUGGUUAUUUGAACCUAUAAGGCACAAGGUUCAAAACCGUCAUUUUGAAAAGACGUAAAAACCACAAGUGCAAGUUUAAGAAUGUGCGCAAUUAUUAUUACAGGAACAUACAACAGAUAGAUUUUUCCACCUGCAAUGAAGGUGCAGGCCCUGUAAAAUCUAUACAAUUACAUUAUGUUCUGGAAGCCUCUGAAGGAUGAGUACGGCGCCUCUUAAGCUUAGCCAUGAGCUUCUCGUGGUCUCCCAAAAUUCUUUCAUUGGAGACCUGCAGCAUGUCUAGCCUUCUCAGUGUAUCAACAGAGUAUGAACUCACCAGUUUCAACAAGGCAUUAUUCUCUCCUUUAAGUUUCUCAACCUCCUGUUGAGACUCAUGAAGCAUUCUUUGGAGAGACGAAUUUUCAGUAGCUAACCUCUCAACCUCGUUUGCUCUGGCACGCAAACGAUCUGCCAUGUUAGAAACAGAAACAGCACUCCGAAUGCUGAAAGCCAUUGAGUCAUUAAUAGCCUCUUCCUCUGAUCUCCCUGUCAACAACAUUUCAUCCAUUGGAGUAAUGAAAUUCCUAGCUACUGUGACAGCAGUAGCAUCAUUCAUCAUCACAGAAUCAUUAACUGUGAGAUGACGAUUUUUGGAUACAAAGGAUGGACGCCAAACUUCGGCGUCACUGGUUGUUGUGGGAGCAUCAUUUAAAUUGAAAUAAUUUGGGCAGGAAGAAGAGGAAGCCAUUUUAAAGAAGGUUUCGAAGAAAGGCUCAGGAAAACUAAAGUUUCAGAAAAUGAAGGAAGUUAAGGUUGAAACGCAGUUGCUCCAAUCAAGGUUUGCAAAGGCAAUAUCUAUAAGAGGAAAUAUGGCUACUGUUUUUCAGGAUCCCAAUAUCUUCUCGGAUCCCCAUAUUUCUCCUUUUCUUUCCUAGAGUCCAAAACUUCACGUGGCCUCUAAUAAUGCCUGUCGGCACUUUCGGCGUUUUCAAGCAUUAUUUUCAAAGCCGAUCUUGCUUUAUGGAUUUCACGGAGCUACUUUUUCAAAAGCAUCCCGGGAAUCUCGCAAUUUUCCUAUGGUUAAUUUGAAAUUCACCGGUUCUACCUAUUCAUUAUAUUUGUGUAUAAAUGUGUUACUAAUGAAAUUUUCUUUGCAGAAGACAUCCAGUUUACUCCAUAUCUAGUUAUGCGAUAUUUACUUGUUUUUCUUAUCAGUGAGCACUUAAUGUGCCCGAGAAGCAAGACUAUCUCUGAUCAUCCAUUCAGGAAGCAAGACUAUCCCUGAUCAUGUUUCUGCAAGAUCAGGGAAUUGUAGAGGCGGCCUUAUGCUCUAAUCUCCUGAGGUCCUUCUAAACUAGGGGAUAUGAGAGCUUAUUGUCUGCUUCCACCAGCUUCCUUCCUUGAUUGCUUACCUUACCUUGCAAUCAAUAUCACAAUCUUUGUAUCUUUUCUUUCUUUUUAUAACUCUCUGUUCAUAAGAGAUUUUAUUUCUUUAGAAUGAACAUCUGAAGAAUGAAUCCAUGCAGUGAUCCUAACUCUGAGAGUUAUUUGUUUUUGACAGAGAAAAGAAUUGUGAUUUUUGCUCUUGCAGGAUAUAACAAGACCAUCAAGCGCUACAUUAUAUUUACUGGGCUGAUAUGAGCUUGAAUGAUACUUGAGAAAAGUUUCUCCCACCUAAGGAUGUAAGCAAUACUUGUGUUAUUUUAUGCUUAUAUACCUAUUUGAUAUUUUAUCUUGAAAGGUAACCAAAUGGGGAGAUAAGUCCGUUCCAAAAGAAUGACUUCUAUGUAUCCAUGAAUUAUUAAUGCAAAUUUUACAUAUUGCAAGUUGGAUACAUUGAUAAUACACUGCACAGAUUAAAAGUCCCAUAAGAACAUAACAUGGGUAUAGCAGUGAUCAAUAUGAUGCACGCCUGUUGCGUAGCAAAUGAUGUGGAUUGAAGUCCCAAAUGGACAAUUCUUUGACAUGUCAAUGUUGAUAUUAUGCACGCCUAAUGCGUAGCAAAUUAUAUGGGUUAAAGUCUCAUUAAAUGGGUUAAAGUCCCAGAAAUUAAUUGACAUGUAUGUAUUAAUCUGUGGCAUGCCUGCAGCAUGACAGAUAUAUGGGUUCUAAAUGUUCCAACUCUCUAAAUAGAGAUUAUUCACGCCCUACUGUAAAAUAACGCUUAAUUGGAGGUUAUAAUCCACAUUCUCACAUAAUAAAAGCCCCCCUGAAGUGGCUUGGGUACCCAAAAGCAAAGAAAUGCUUAUAAUUGAUGCAUGCGCAUGCACAUGAGAAUGGUGAGAUCAUGAAUUGAUGAAUGACAAUUUUUGGUUUUGGAGUAGCUACUCAAAUCAUCAAUGGGCUUGUGUUGAUUGGAACCACGUUCAAUUAUUAAAUGUCGACAAUAUCAUUGGCCAAAAUGGAAAGAGGUAAUUCCAUUAUAGAUGAGAAUGAACGUGAAAGAACAAACCCACAGUACGAACCCCAAAAUUUGUUAAUACUGAAUUUAUACUUGGGUGUUCGGAAUACAAGGGAAUAUCCUUAUUUUGUAUGACACACUGUUUUCUGGCAGAAACAAGGAAUGUUGGGUUUUCUCCAUAUUUACAGAUUCAAUUGUGCCCCCCCCUUAUUACACAAUUAUGGAGACCAACAUAUUAUCUUUAAGGGUUAUUAAAUGCACAGAGCAUAUCGCCAGAAGCGAUUCCCUAAAGAUAUAUGAAUAGCUGGGAUAAAGCUAUAUAAUGUGUCAUAAAAAUUAAUCCCUUUUAGACAAAAUCCGUUGAGAGGAUUAUCAUUGCAUAAAGCAAGUCCCUAAAGGACAUGUGCUUGAAGCACAAAAUUUGUACUCAAUAUUAAUAUGCAUAAAUUACCUCAGUGAGUACAUUAAUGUGAUUGCAACACAUUAAAGAUUCUGCAGAAUUCACGAAAUAUAUGUCUCGACUUAAGGAUCGAGCAUUGUGCCAACGAGAUUAUUGCUUAUACUAAGAAAGUAUUGAAGCAUUUUUAUGAGGAUUAUCCGUUGGUCUUUAAAUGUUUUUCGGAAGUAUACUAGACCAGAUAGAGCUUAGCUCCACACUGUACUCUUUUUCCUUCAUCCAGGUUUUUAUCCCAUUGGGUUUUUCCCGGUAAGGUUUUAACGAGGCAGUGUCGCUCAGGGGGUUUAGAGUAUACUAUGAAAAUUUUUAUGGUCGCUUACUGGACAAAAGCUAGUCCUCCAUUUUCCAGGGGGAGAUAUUCAUCAGGAGGAGCAUGGUUUUGAUAAAGACCUCCAUACACUGUACUCUUUUUCCUUCAUCCAGAUUUUUAUCCCACUGGGUUUUUCCUGGUAAGGUUUUAACGAGGCAGUGUCGCUCAAGAUUGACUCACAGAAGCAGUGUCGCACGCGCGUCAAUAUACACAGAAUUUUAUGUUACACAUGAUUAUGUACUCUUUUUACCUUUGACCAGUUUUUGUCCCACUGGGUUUUUACUGGCAAGGUUUUUAACGAGGCAUAUUCCAUAUCAUUUGUGGUCUCCAAGGGGGAGUGUUGUAAAUAAUUAGUUGUGGAGCCCACAUGUUCCCUAGGCUUUGCCGAUAAAAGGGUUCAUCCCUUCAUUGUUCAAUACACAUAGAAAUGAGAAUAAGAAACUCAGUUUCUCUACUUUCUCUCUCUCUCUCUCAAUUUCCUCUCCAAAUUCUCCAGUUUUAUAACAAGUUGGUGGGUAUUUAUAGGAAGAAUUGUGUAUGAGAUUUAAAAAAACAAAAACUCAUACUAGCCGUUGAGCCCUUGUAGCAGUUGGCCUACUUUACAAAAAAAAACAACAACAACAAUAAUGAAACUAGCUGGUGAGAACUUGAGAGCUUGAAGCCAUUAGUCAAAUUAUUAAAAAAUAUAUAUAUUGUUAUAAAAUAACCUAGAAUAUGUGCGAUAAUUCAGAGCUGCACGUAAAGUAGAUGAGACACAGCAUUUAACGAGGUUCGGCUAUGCCUACGUCCUCGGAGAGCAGCAGCAGUAACUUUUUCACUAUGUAAAAUAAUAGGGCUACAAGUUUAGUGUUUACAAUAUAUGUGGCUCACUGAAUUUUCUCUCUAGGAGAAUUUCUCUCUGCUCUCUCUUCUCUCUUUCUUCCUUCUCUUCCUUUCUCUUUUUCUUCCUUCUCUUCCUUUCUCUUUUUCUUCUCUUCUUCUUUCCCUUUCUCUUCUUAUUUAUAGGCUGAAAUAAUCACUAUUCAUCACUAUUCAUCACUGUUCACCCGUGACAGACAGACUCUAUCAAAGCCGCCAAAUGAACAGUAAUGAACAGUAAUGAAAACUCUAUCAAGCCGCCAAAUGAACAGUAAUGAACAGUAAUGAAUAGUUAGUGGGCUCCACAUGUUUAUUCUUUUACAACACUCCCCCUUGGAGACCACUAAUGAUAUGUCGGUUGUAUCAUUAAAGACUUGCUUGGAGAAAACCUAGUAAGGUAGAGAACUGAUGAAAAGAAGAGUACAACAAUCUGUAUAGCAUACUUCUGGAUGCUCCCCCUGAUUAAUAUCUCCCCCUGAUGUCUUCAUGACUAUCUUUUGGAUUGAGAAUCUUUCGGAGUGAGUGGAUGAUGUAGCCACCAACAAUUCAUAUAGUAAAUAUAUUUCCAGUGAGCUAUCUCUAUGUAAAUCAUAGAAAUUUUCAGAGUCCGCAUAUCUAAUAACGCUUGGGCUAUUUAUAAGUUCACUUGAAAGAAUAUGCCCAUACAUGGUGUUAUGCGGAAAUAGCAUCAAAUAUACCUCACAUCAUCCCAAAAUGAUGGUGAUGGAGUUGAGCCUUAUUUGGAAAAUAUGAUGUUCGGUCCAACAUACUUCCGGAAAAUUCUUAAAGUGCCCAACGGAUAAUCCUCAUAAAAAUGCUUCAAUACUUUCUUAGUAUAAGCAAGUAUCUCGUUGGCAUAAUGCUCGAUCUUUAAGUCGAGACAAAUAUUUCUGGAAUUCUUGAGAAGCUUUAAUGUGUUGCAAACACAUUAUAAUCAAUAUACUCACUGAGGCAAUUUAUGUACAUUAACAUUGAGUACAGAUUUUGUGCUUCAGGCACAUGUCCACAGACUUGCUUCAUGCAAUUUCAAUCCUUUCAAGGAUUUUGUUUAAAGGGAUUAAACUCUAUGACACAUUAUAUAGCUUUAACCCAUCUAUUUAUAUAUCUUUAGGGAAUCACUUCAGGUGAUAUGCUCUGUGCAUUUAAUAACCCUUAAAGAUAACAUGUUGGUCUUCGUAAAUGUGCAAUAAAGGGGCACAAUUGAAUCUAUAAAUAUGGAGAAAACCCAACAUCCCUUGUUUAUGUCAAAAACAUUGUGUCAUACUGUGAGUUUGUUCUUUCACGUUCAUUCUCAUCUAUAAUGGAAUUGCCUCAUUUCAUUUUGGCCAAUGAUAUUGUCGACAUUUAAUAAUUGAACGUGGUUCCAAUCAACACAGCCCAUUGAUGAUUUGAGUAGCUACUCCAAAAUCAAAAAUUGUCAUUCAUCAAUUCAUGAUCCCACCAUUCUCAUUUGCAUGCGCAUGCAUCAAUUAUAAGCAUUUCUUUGCUUUUGGGUACCCAAGCCACUUCAUGGGGCUUUUAUUAUGUGAGAAUGUGGAUUAUAACAUCUAUUGGAGCGUUAUUUUACAUAGGGCGUGGAAAAUCUCCAUUUAGGGAGUUGGAACAUUUAGAACCCAUAUAUCUGUCAUGCUGCAGGCAUGCCACAGAUUAAUACAUACAUGUCAAUUAAUUUAUGAGACUUUAACCCAUAUUAUGGGACUUUAACCCAUAUAAUUUGCUAUGCAUUAGGCGUGCAUAAUAUCAAUAUUGACAUGUCAAAGGAUUGUCAUUUCGGGACUUCAAUCCAUGACGGUUUACCCAAAAUGGUUCAUAUUUAUGCAUACGUCACUAUUCAUGUGAAUAGUACUAUUCAUCAAGUCAUGAAUACGUAUCUAUUCAUCUGCCAGUACAGUUAUCAUCAAUGUGUACGGCACCAUGAAACUGCAGGUUCCCUUUUGUAUAUAGUGACGGUUUACCCAAAAUAGUUCAUAUUUAUGCAUACGUCACUAUUCAUGUGAAUAGUACUGUUCAUCAAGUCAUGAAUACAUAUCUAUUCAUGUGUACAGUACAUCUGCCAGUACAGUUAUCAUCCAUGGCUCAUAUUUAUGCAUACGUCACUAUUCAUGUGAAUAGUACUGUUCAUCAAGUCAUGAAUACAUAUCUAUUCAUGUGUACAGUACAUCUGCCAGUACAGUUAUCAUCCAUGUGUACGGCACUAUGAACCAAUACGGUACUAUUACAUCAUUAAGGAACCCCAGGUCCUUAUUCACAUGUCAGGGAUCAAGGACCUUUAAGUCCAAUCACAUGUUUACAAGUAUAGUACCGGAGAGACUGCCAGCUCUCAUAUCAAUAUCAUCAUCAAGGAUCUUCAAGUCCUGAUGUAAUUGUAUGAUGAGGAUCAAGGAAUUGCUGGUCCUGAUCUGCAUACUGUAAAAACUCAUCAUACAGCACAUUUAGUCCAUAAAAUAAAUUGCUGGUAAAUAAAUUACUGGUAUGGACGAUAAAACCCGCACCACACUUUAAAUAAAAGUAAAGGCGUGGACGAUAAACCCGCACCACCCUUUUAAAUAAAUGUAAAUGUGCGGUAAUUUAAAUUCAUAAAUUAAACGUGCGUGUAUGGGCACUAAUUCUGCUCCAUACUUUUAAAUGAACGUAAAGGCGUGGACGAUAAACCCGCACCACCCUUUUAAAUAAAUGUAAAUGUGCAGUAAAUUAAAUUCAUAAAUUAAUUUGUUAGUAUUAGUAACGGUCUCCCACUGAUAAUAUGUUUAGUAUUACCAAGGGUCCAUUUUUGUUAAUGGUUAGUAAUAGAAAAGCAGAUAAAUAUAGUAUAUUAUAUUACCAUCAACUUUUCAUAUAUAUAUAUAUAUUAUACUGAUAUAUUAGUGGAAAGCUAGAUGCGUUGGCUUUUCUUCUUUACAUCAACAUAAUGGUUAGUAUUAUAAAUAAUAGUGCAGCACAAAAAUUAUACCUGAGAGCUUCUCGUGCUGAUAACGUGUUAUAAAAUAACCUAGAAUAUGUGCGAUAAUUCAGAGCUGCACGUAAAGUAGAUGAGACACAGCAUUUAACGAGGUUCGGCUAUGCCUACGUCCUCGGAGAGCAGCAGCAGUAACUUUUUCACUAUGUAAAAUAAUAGGGCUACAAGUUUAGUGUUUACAAUAUAUGUGGCUCACUGAAUUUUCUCUCUAGGAGAAUUUCUCUCUGCUCUCUCUUCUCUCUUUCUUCCUUCUCUUCCUUUCUCUUUUU
This 33411-nucleotide long non-coding RNA is filed under the name Prunus persica (peach). Its description in RNAcentral is "long non-coding RNA (PPER_LNC004416)". Lineage: Eukaryota; Viridiplantae; Streptophyta; Magnoliopsida; Rosales; Rosaceae. The record is from RNAcentral.